This 28-nucleotide small RNA is filed under the name Bombyx mori (domestic silkworm). RNAcentral describes it as "ovarian small RNA-1274". The record is from RNAcentral. Lineage: Eukaryota; Metazoa; Arthropoda; Insecta; Lepidoptera; Bombycidae.
AGACGGUGGGAACCGCAGCCGGUACGAA